AUGGCAACUGGGGAUGUUAUUAGAAAGUGCUAUCUUUAUCAAAGAACUGAGACUAGGUCUUCUGUAUACAUUUUUUUUCACAUGUGUAUUUAUAGACAAAUCUCUGGAAUUGCAUUAUUUUGCAGCUUCAAAGAACCCCCCCUUUUGCUUGGUGUUCUACAUCCAAAUACGAAGUUGCAACAGGCAGAAAGGCUGUUUGAAAAUCAGCUUAUUGGACCGGAGUCCAUAGCACAUAUUGGGGAUGUGAUGUUUACUGGGACAGCAGAUGGCCAGGUCGUAAAACUUGAAAAUGGCGAAAUAGAGACUAUUGCCCGGUUUGGUUCAGGCCCAUGCAGUAAGUUGGUGGUAAUCCCCUGACAUGUAUCUCUUCCAGUCUUUAAGAAAGAUGUCGGAUUGCUCUGUGGAACUGCUUUUCCCUAGAAUGCUUGUGGGGGAGAAAGACACUCUGACCAUCUAGCAGAAGGAACGUGACGUCACCAUGAGCUCUUCAUUUGCCUGGUAGACCCUGAGCCUCAUGGUGCCUGAUGGUCACCUGUAGUCCCCAUUUUGCAGCUGGGCCAUGGCCGUGGCCCCUGCUUGGUACUGUGUGGGCCUCACCCCUCACCAUUUUACCGGGGUCCCUGUUUAUCUUUGCGGUAGUUCAGAGGCCAAUAGGUGUUGUCAGCGUGCUGCUGUAGAAAAGCAGGUGACCUUGUCAUUACUUGGAUGUGUAACUGUUAUUCUGCCUUGGUCACAGCAAUUUCAGCCCUAUCAUUCAAAGUGAGAAUACCCUUAAGUCACUCAGAUUUUGGAGAAGUAGAGUAGAAGACUCACUGUUUAAAACUGAUAGUCUAUAGACUUAAUAGUGCCAUUUUUUAAUAGUUGGAAUGUUUUUAUCAAAAUGAUGCAUUUUAAUAAACACAACACAAAGGUACAAAGAAGAAAAUAAAGAUCACCUGCAUCUUUUCAGAUGUAAUUGUUUUGAACAUUUUAGUGAAUGUCUUUUCAGGCAUCUUUCUGUUCAUGGACAUCCACACCCACACACAGUUUUAUAUGAUGGAAUUACACUCUACAUCUGUUCUUUAACCUGCCUUUUUUUGUGCCAUAUUGUCAGUAAGCACCGUACAGUGAGCAUCUCAUAGUGAACACCCUGCAAUAAGCAUUUGCAGUGAGCACCCAUGGUGAGCACCUACAAUAGCACCUGGAAUGAGCACCCAUGGUGAGCACCCCACGGUGAACAUCCUGCAAUAAACACCUGUAGUGAGCACCCCACAGUGAACAUCCUGCAAUAAACACCUGUAGUGAGCACCCCGCAGUGAACACCCUACAAUAACCACCUGCAGUGAGCACCCUGCAGUGAACACCCUGCAAUAACCACUUGCAGUGAGCACCCUGCAGUGAACCCCCUGCAAUAAGCACCUGCAGUGGGCACCCUGCAGUGAACACCCUGCAAUAAGCACCUGCAGUGGGCACCCUGCAGUGAACACCCUGCAAUAAGAACCUGCAGUGGGCACCCUGCAGUGAACAUGCUGCAAUAAACACCUGCAGUGAGCACCCCACAGUGAACACCCUGCAAUAAGCACCUGCAGUGAGCACCCUGCAGUGAACAUCCUGCAAUAAACACCUAUAGUGAGCAUCCCGCAGUGAACACCCUACAAUAACCACCUGCAGUGAGCACCCUGCAGUGAACCCCCUGCAAUAAGCACCUGCAGUGGGCACCCUGCAGUGAACACCCUGCAAUAAGCACCUGCAGUGGGCACCUUGCAGUGAACAUGCUGCAAUNNNNNNNNNNNNNNNNNNNNNNNNNCAAUAAGCACCUGCAGUGGGCACCCUGCAGUGAACACCCUGCAAUAAGCACCUGCAGUGGGCACCCUGCAGUGAACAUGCUGCAAUAAACACCUGCAGUGAGCACCCCACAGUGAACAUGCUGCAAUAAGCACCUGCAGUGAGCACCCUGCAGUGAACAUCCUGCAAUAAACACCUGUAGUGAGCAUCCCACAGUGAACACCCUACAAUAACCACCUGCAGUGAGCACCCUGCAGUGAACCCCCUGCAAUAAGC
Molecule: long non-coding RNA, 2040 nt
Filed under: Aotus nancymaae (Ma's night monkey)
Lineage: Eukaryota; Metazoa; Chordata; Mammalia; Primates; Aotidae
Description: lncRNA (ENSANAG00000038626.1)
Source: RNAcentral